AACGAACGCUGGCGGCAUGCCUAACUCAUGCAAGUCGAACGAGACCUUCGGGUCUAGUGGCGCACGGGUGCGUAACGCGUGGGAACCUGCCCUUAGGUUCGGAAUAACUCCCCGAAAGGGGUGCUAAUACCGGAUAAUGUCUUCGGACCAAAGAUUUAUCGCCUUUGGAUGGGCCCGCGUUGGAUUAGCUAGUUGGUAGGGUAAAAGCCUACCAAGGCGACGAUCCAUAGCUGGUCUGAGAGGAUGAUCAGCCACACUGAGACUGAGACACGGCCCAGACUCCUACGGGAGGCAGCAGUGGGGAAUAUUGGACAAUGGGCGAAAGCCUGAUCCAGCAAUGCCGCGUGAGUGAUGAAGGCCUUAGGGUUGUAAAGCUCUUUUACCCGGGAUGAUAAUGACAGUACCGGGAGAAUAAGCUCCGGCUAACUCCGUG
Molecule: ribosomal RNA, 433 nt
Filed under: uncultured bacterium
Lineage: Bacteria
Description: partial 16S ribosomal RNA
Rfam family: Bacterial small subunit ribosomal RNA
Source: RNAcentral